RNAcentral lists this ribosomal RNA (506 nucleotides) under uncultured bacterium. RNAcentral's name for it is "partial 16S ribosomal RNA". It matches the Rfam family "Bacterial small subunit ribosomal RNA", at positions 30 to 523 of the family's 1533-position model. The record is from RNAcentral.
AUUGAACGCUGGCGGCAGGCCUAACACAUGCAAGUCGAACGGUAGCACAGAGGAACUUGCUCCUUGGGUGACGAGUGGCGGACGGGUGAGUAAUGUCUGGGAAACUGCCCGAUGGAGGGGGAUAACUACUGGAAACGGUAGCUAAUACCGCAUAACGUCUUCGGACCAAAGUGGGGGACCUUCGGGCCUCACACCAUCGGAUGUGCCCGGAUGGGAUUAGCUAGUAGGUGGGGUAAUGGCUCACCUAGGCGACGAUCCCUAGCUGGUCUGAGAGGAUUACCAGCCACACUGGAACUGAGACACGGUCCAGACUCCUACGGGAGGCAGCAGUGGGGAAUAUUGCACAAUGGGCGCAAGCCUGAUGCAGCCAUGCCGCGUGUAUGAAGAAGGCCUUCGGGUUGUAAAGUACUUUCAGCGGGGAGGAAGGCGUUAAGGUUAAUAACCUUGGCGAUUGACGUUACCCGCAGAAGAAGCACCGGCUAACUCCGUGCCAGCAGCCGCAGUAA